Molecule: small nucleolar RNA, 142 nt
Organism: Artibeus jamaicensis (Jamaican fruit-eating bat)
Lineage: Eukaryota; Metazoa; Chordata; Mammalia; Chiroptera; Phyllostomidae
Product: small nucleolar RNA SNORD97
Exons: 1
Source: RefSeq, a predicted model, not a curated record
UUGCCCAAUGAUUAUAAAAAGAUGCGUUAAGAGGACUUAAUGCUGGAGUUCUUGUCUUUCUCUUUUUUCUGUACUACUUUUUCUUUUCUUUUCUUUGUAUAUCCAGCGUCCUGUGAGCAACGAUUAUGAGAUAUGAGGGCAA